Molecule: unclassified non-coding RNA, 195 nt
Filed under: plant metagenome
Description: partial contains small subunit ribosomal RNA, internal transcribed spacer 1, and 5.8S ribosomal RNA
Source: RNAcentral
UCUCCGUUGGUGAACCAGCGGAGGGAUCAUUACCGAGUUUACAACUCCCAAACCCCUGUGAACAUACCAUUUGUUGCCUCGGCGGUGCCUGCUUCGGCAGCCCGCCGGAGGACCCAAACCCUUGAUUUUAUACAGUAUCUUCUGAGUAAAUGAUUAAAUAAAUCAAAACUUUCAACAACGGAUCUCUUGGUUCUG